This is a long non-coding RNA of Homo sapiens (human), 2936 nucleotides long. Ensembl annotates it as hepatocellular carcinoma up-regulated long non-coding RNA. Its record names the gene HULC. The record is from Ensembl. NCBI's taxonomy places the organism in Eukaryota, Metazoa, Chordata, Mammalia, Primates, Hominidae.
UUUACCUCUACCCACUGAAAUGGAGUAGGUCGGUGAGCGCCGAUCUGCUGGAGAAUCUCAUUAUCCCAUCGGCGCUCUGCCUGCUCCUGGCCUCCAAGCCUCUGAAGCCCCUCGGGUUUCAGCUGCCGGCUACCCUCGAGCCCGUGGUGCCCACGAGAGAGGCGACUUUACGUCAGCGGCCCUGGGCUGAGAUUUGAGAACGCGACCAAGUGGAGAAUGUUGGAGCCAGAUUUUAAAAUCCUUGUCUUCCUUCUGCGUGCUACUUGAUCUAAAUGAGAUACGGCAAAGUCACAGAACCUGUUUUUAUGUUUUUGCCUGAUUCAUACGGGCUUCUCCGGUGAAGAUGGGCCUGAAGUAACGCUUGGGUUGCUUCUGACGUUAUAACUCAUCCUGUAGCUGCAGCAACCGUGGUCCUUGCAACCUCAUAAAAAUGUUGCCAGCAUUGUUUCGAUAGUGCUGCUUAAUUCUUGGAAGGUUCUUCGGACUUCACACAUUCCAGCAGUAGCUCUCUCAGCUCCUGUCCUGCACAGCUUUGAAGUGCUGGCUGGAGUGCAGUGGUGCCAUCUCGGCUCACUGCAGCCUCAACCUCCUGGGCUCAAGCGAUCCUCCUGCCACACCCUCCUGAGUAGCUGGGAUUACAGGUGAUGUCAUUGAACUCUUAAGUGCAAGAUGAAACAAGUCUUUCUGGGGUUCUAAGUAGUUAACCAACAGGACACAGCCCUGGUGAUGGCUUUCUGAGGAUGACACGAUGGAGGCUUCUCCAAUAGCUCUAAAACUGCGGUGUGGAAAACAUUCGGCAGCCUCAAAGAGCGGUCUUGUUGACCCCAACUAUAUCAUUUUUCAUCAAAAUCAUUCUUGAAUGACCAGGCAACACUCUUUGAAAAUUGGAGGCCAUUUGCAGCUGCUCUCUGUUGAGGAAAGUGAAUAAUAGGGUGCCCUCAAGGAAUUGCAAAGGUAUCACUCAACAGAAACUUUCGUGUCUGAAGAAAACUAGAUCAUUUUAUCAUGGGACACGCUGCGGAUGGCUUGAGAUUAGUAUCUGCGCAGGUGCCAUUCUCACAGUGUGUGCUGUGAGAAUGUCGCAGACGUGUGCUGCUACUCUGGCACUCACACUUGUCCAGGCUGUUUCUUAGGUGGUCAUCUUGCCUGUGGUAUCAGAAAAAGGGAUUUCUACUUAGUAUUAAGAAGUUGAAACCAAAGUAGAAAAUAUUCAUCCUUUGCUUUCCCCAAACAAUUCUUCUGCCUAGAAAUGUCAACAACUUAACCACAUGCAAAUACCCAUUUGUGGACAAAUGUGUACAAAAGACAUUUGGGGUUCCCCUCUUUGAGACUAGAUUAAAGCUGACCAUAUAGAUAGGGAAGAAAACUGUUUUUCUCUGUAGCAUCAUAUUGCUGCUUUGUAUAUUUUCUGAUAGAGUAGCAUCAGGUCCUCUGGCUGCUUUAUUGAAAUCAUCUUUGACGUUUCUAACAAGGAAAUUUCCUGUGCAAAACUCUAGUUAGAGAUUUCAGUGACUUGUAUCACCAAGAGGAGGACCAUCAGCAUGCAGUGGAGGUCUAGGCUUCAGACAUGUGAGGCACACUGAGGAGCAGCUUUAUUUGCAAGAGGUAUUAGGAAUCUUCCUAACAAAGUUGACCUUCAGGAUGGGAGAAAUCAAAGCACAGACCAUAGAUCCAAAAAAAAUGGCUUCUGGUCAGAAAAGGUGAUCUGAGAUUAGGGGAAGAUGUGUCAUCAAUAUCAUCCCCUGGUCCAGCCCUGUGAAAUCACACCUGAGUGGUAGAGAAAUAUCUAUGAAAAAAUAGUAAAACAGAAACAAAUGUUUCUGUCUGGCAGACAGGCAGCUGCAUGGCUUUCAGGGCCAGGUAGAGGGGACAUCACAUGUACAUGGUGGCAGCGGGAUGUCCCCAGGUAGCAGAAAGUCGCAGGUGGCUCAUCAGAGACCCUAAAGAACUAGCCCCCUACUUGUAGGUGUCAGUGGCUGUGGUAGGAGUGGCCAUAGAUAGUUUCUGGUUACACAAGAUUGGUGUGGGAACAGCAUGACCACGAGAAAAAUCUGGGUUGACGGCCCCAGGGAGCUGGAGCAGAAUAUUAACAAUAGUAGCUAGCAUUUGAGUGCUGCCCAUGUGCUUGAAAAUGUUCUAGGUGAUUUACCUUUAUUAGCUCCUAUAAUUCUCAAAACGACCUCGAGUUAGGUCUUUCUAUUAUUCCUAUUUUAUAGACAAAGCAGUGGAGCCACAGAGAGGUUAAGUAACUUGCCCAAUGUCACACAGCAAAAAGUGGCAGAGCCACAAUUUUAAUUUGGGUUGAAGAGGAAAAUAGAUAAUGCAUAUUCCUAGGAUCUGAGAGAUGUUUGAGGUGAGGGGGAAUGAGAGGCUCUCCUUUGAAAGAAGCAGCAGGGGGUACUGAAACAGAGUAGAAGAGUGUGAAAGCUGGUGGGGUUGUUGUUGUUGUUGUUUUUAGUCCUAAGUUAGUGGCAUGAAAGCACUGCCCUGGAAGCGAUGGAGCAGCAAGUGCUCUACCCACAUGGAAGUCUUUGGGACCUGCACUUCAAUGAGCGCAGAGAGGAAAAGGAGAGAAGAACCAACACAACUGAAGCACCUACGAGCGUCAGGCACUGGCCCAGCUGCCAUGGACCCCCGAGUUGAAGGUCGUAUAACCUCAGCCUGCCCAAAUGAACCAAGCACACAACCACAGGGGGAACCCAAGAGUUCCAGUGGGAGAGCUGGAAGAGGAGGGACCAAUGUGAGAAGUGGACACCAUAUGGCAGGAUCCAGGAUCCAAUCAGACUGAGCCCUGGGGUCACCCCAUGGAAGGAUCCAGUUGGAUCAUGCCUCCUGGCAUCACCUACUGCAAGAUCCAAUCAGAUCACACCUCCUUACCCUAUGCUUAUAAAACCCCACCCAGCCCCCAGCCCGAAGAUACAGAUUUGAGUAUUUCC